AAAUUUAUAAUUAUUAUUAUUAUUAGUGAGUAUUUUUUUUAUUUAAGAAAAAUAAAUUUUAGUAUUUAUUUAGAAAAAAUUAAUUUAAUUAUAGUUAAUUUGUAUUGUAAAAGAAUUUAUAAUUUUAUUAUAAAGAAAAAUUUAUUUUUUGUACCUUGUGUAUCAGGGUUUAUUAAAUUAUUUUAUUAAUUUUAUAUUUCUCGAAUUUAAAAGAGCUAUAAAUUAAAAUUUAUUAUUGUAGAAUAAAUAAAUUAAAUUUUUUUAUUGAAAUGAAACGUUAUUCGUUUUUAAAUAUAUCUAGUUUUUUAAGAAAAAAUUUUAAUUUUAUUGUAAUUAUUUAUUGUUUUUUUUAUUAAAAAUUAUAUAUGUUAUUUUAAAUAUAUUUAGGGAUGAGCUUAAAUAUAAAAUUUUAUAAAUUAAUAAAAAUGAAUUAUAAAUAGGAUUAAAAAUUUUCAUUUUUAUUAGUUUGUUAUAAUUAAUUUUUUUUGUAAAAAAAUUUUUAUUAGAUUUAGUUGUUUUAUUAAAAUAUUAAUUGGAAUUUAAUUAAUUAAGAAAUAAUGAUAAAAUUAGUAUAGAGUUAGUGUUUAUGAAUUUAAAAAUUUAAGAUUAAAUAAAGGAAUUCGGCAAAUAUAUUUUUCACCUGUUUAUUAAAAACAUGUCUUUAAGAUUAUAAUUUAAAGUCAGGCCUGCCCACUGAAGAUUAAAUGGCCGCAGUAUUUUGACUGUGCUAAGGUAGCAUAAUAAUUAGUUUUUUAAUUGGAAUCUGGAAUGAAGGGUUAAAUGAAAAAGUUUCUGUCUCUAUUUAAAAUCUAGAAUUUUAUUUUUAAGUUAAAAAGCUUAAAUUUUGUUAAAAGACGAGAAGACCCUAUAGAGUUUUAUAUACUGAUAUUUUUAUUUUUUAGGGAUUUAUAUUUUAAAAAAAUCUAUAUAUUUAAUUGGGGUGAUUAUAAAAUUUAAUUAACUUUUAUUUAAAUGAGUCAUUAUUAAAUGAAUAAGUGAUCCAAUUUUUUUGAUUAUAAGAUUAAAUUACCUUAGGGAUAACAGCGUUAUUUUUUUUUAGAGUUCUGAUUGAAAAAAGAGUUUGCGACCUCGAUGUUGGAUUAAAAUUUAUGUUUGGUGAAGAAGCUAAGCUAUUGGGUCUGUUCGACCCUUAAAAUUUUACAUGAUCUGAGUUUAAACCGGUGUGAGCCAGGUUGGUUUCUAUCUUUAUUAAAAUAAAUGUUUUAGUACGAAAGGAUCAAAUAUU
This 1246-nucleotide ribosomal RNA is filed under the name Cucujoidea sp. 23 KM-2017. RNAcentral describes it as "16S ribosomal RNA". The stretch from base 1037 to 1195 matches the Rfam family "Archaeal large subunit ribosomal RNA", at positions 2542 to 2701 of the family's 2987-position model. Lineage: Eukaryota; Metazoa; Arthropoda; Insecta; Coleoptera. The record is from RNAcentral.